Lagopus muta (rock ptarmigan) is the source of this 1778-nucleotide long non-coding RNA. RefSeq lists it as uncharacterized. The transcript has 5 exons. NCBI's taxonomy places the organism in Eukaryota, Metazoa, Chordata, Aves, Galliformes, Phasianidae. The record is from RefSeq and is a predicted model, not a curated record.
CCUAACCUCAUUUAAGGGAUGGCAGGUGCAAGGGAAGCAUCUCUACUCCAAGGUUGAUUUCUUUGGUGUAUUUGGUGAGCCCUGAUCCUUGGAAAGGGUGCCAGGGUGAAGAACUAUGAAGAAAUUCUGCAGAAGCUGGCAGCCCAUUGCUUGGACAGGCAGAUGAGAGCCAAUGGCAGAGUUCUGUGUGAGAAUUUUCGAGAGGAUGUCCACCUUGCAGUGGUCUUUCAGAAGUUGAAGCAUCUACUGGUGAAAGAGCAUGAUGUAUCCUAUGAGCCCCUGACAGACAGAAGAUUCUAAAAAUAUUACCAGUACGUGCUUCCAUUCAUGCUGUCCCCUGGAUUGUUACUAGAGGAAGAGUAGUGUGAGAUGGCUGAGGAAUUAACCACCCUUAGCUGCAGAGUGUGAAUAACCUCAGUACAAAUCACCAUCUGAUGCCAUUUACUCUGCGCUGCAAACUGCGGACAGAAUCACUGUGCUUCUUUGAGGAACAGAGUCUGAGGUUACAACCGCUGCUGGAAUGGUGGACCACAGGCAGAAUAUACUGUGAGCUUUCUGUCCAGCAGCAUUUAGUAUCUGGAGGAAGCAGGCACUGCUGUUAUUUGCUGUUGCUGGCUGUCAUGCUGCACGUAAGUCUGGCACCUCAGAGCAAUUGCUUUGGGUUAGAGAUGGAAUUCAGCAUACAAAGGAAAAAUGGUACUCCUAUAUAAAUAACUGAGAGUCUCACAAUGGCCCUUUGAACCAGCUCAUUUGUUCUAGUCACUGCCUGUGAGUAGCAUGAGUUUAUCUAGUACAUGCAGCCAUUGAAAGUAAAGUAAAAAAAAAAAAAGAAAAAAAAAACCAACAAAAAAAGAAAACCUGUUACAUUCAAGGUUGUGCAGAUCUAUUCUGUGGGCUAGUUGCCUGUGUCCAAAUUAUAUAAGAACAUUUGUUUAUCCAUGUAGUUUUCUGUUCAUCUUUGUGCUUGCUCCAGUAGCCAGAAAUCGCACCCCUCUCUUCGUAAGGGUAACCAUGUGAUUGCACAGCUCUUCCGUACUUCUACAGCAUGAUUUAUUUUUAUUUUGCUUCUUUAAGUGGCCUAUUGCACACUGAGAAGCUUAAGCUUCCAUUAUCUUUGAACAGCAGCAAUUAUUUAUAUAAAUGAAAUCAUUGUAUUUGCGUUAUUGGCAGUGUAGAGGAUAGGAAAUCAAAUGGCUUAGUUUGCUGGAGUAUUCUGGCAUUCACUUCCAGCAUCAUGGGGCCUGCAUCAAUCAUUAGCUUUUAGAAGCUAGUACUAUCAGUAUUUAUUCUGGAUCUUAAAUAUCUCAGUUUUCCUCAAGAAAUACAAGAUAAAGACAACAGGAGGAUUUGAAUGUUCUGAUGUAUUUUUUUUGUUUGUUUUAAAGAAGAAGCAAGCUGACAGCUGAAUUGUGUAGUUCAUAACUUGUAGUUAAUUAGUAGAAUUCCCUCAGCUGUUUGCAUCAGCUGAUGGUGAAAGAGUCACAAUGUACUGUUAAAGGGCAAGUAGAAUAAUUUGUUCCUAUAGAAGAGACAAAAAUUAUAUGUUUAUUGUGCAUCCAAUUUUUCCUUUUAGAUGAAUAGGAGAGGUCACCAAAAUAGUUGUUACUCUCCCCCUAUGUAUAUAUAAAUAUUUUUACAUUAGACAUGAAGCCUUUCUCCACUAAAUAAACAACAUAUGGAGACUUAAAAAUGUACUUCUGUUCUAUGUUACCAAAACUAUUGAGCUUGAGACUUUUCUUCUGUGCACUUUACCUUUUAUCUGAUAAACUAUUAAUGAA